This 468-nucleotide ribosomal RNA is filed under the name uncultured bacterium. RNAcentral describes it as "partial 16S ribosomal RNA". It matches the Rfam family "Bacterial small subunit ribosomal RNA", at positions 28 to 507 of the family's 1533-position model. The record is from RNAcentral.
GACGAACGCUGGCGGCGUGCUUAACACAUGCAAGUCGAACGGAGAGGCCCUGCUUUUGUGGGGUGCUCGAGUGGCGAACGGGUGAGUAACACGUGAGUAACCUGCCCUUGACUUUGGGAUAACUUCAGGAAACUGGGGCUAAUAACGGAUAGGAGCUCCUGCUGCAUGGUGGGGGUUGGAAAGUUUCGGCGGUUGGGGAUGGACUCGCGGCUUAUCAGCUUGUUGGUGGGGUAGUGGCUUACCAAGGCUUUGACGGGUAGCCGGCCUGAGAGGGUGACCGGCCACAUUGGGACUGAGAUACGGCCCAGACUCCUACGGGAGGCAGCAGUGGGGAAUAUUGCACAAUGGGCGGAAGCCUGAUGCAGCAACGCCGCGUGCGGGAUGACGGCCUUCGGGUUGUAAACCGCUUUCGCCUGUGACGAAGCGUGAGUGACGGUAAUGGGUAAAGAAGCACCGGCUAACUACGUG